GGGGACCGAACCCAGGGCCUUGCGCUUCCUAGGCAAGCGCUCUACCACUGAGCUAAAUCCCCAGCCCCGGGAAUUCUUUAAUUUAGCAGACAUCAUUUAGACCUCAGCCACGUUAGACUGUCCCACAGGGCUUGAAGUCCUGUACUGUAGGCUAAGUGUGGCAGAUACAGUUCCACUGAAACAAAAAGGUGGACAUAAUUCUGUUGCUUUUCUGGAAUGGUGUCGUAGAAUGUGACCUGUGCAAACACUGUAUCCUAAAAUGUCCAUUUCCUUAGCUCCUCCUGUAGCUGAAUUUACAGAGCGUGAACCCAACGGGACUGGUGUUGGCCCUGGUAUGUUUUCUCUUCCGGUGUCCCCGGUUUGAGGUACUUUCAAAAGUCACUCUCCUGGAUGUGACACUUAAUUAGGAAAUGACGUCACUGCAUUCCAGUUUGUGCUUUAUAAUGUCGUUUUGCUGUACCUGAGGGAAAUGUCCUGUUAAAGAAGGAGAGAGAGGGAAAAGCAGGAAUAUCAACUCAAUGCUUCUUAACUGCUUGAGGCCAUAGGUCCCCUUUCAAAUCUAUGGCUCUCAUGGAUUUGUCCCUGAAAAAAAAAAAAAAAGGGACCGCACCUGGCUGACCCCCCUUUCUAAGAUUAAUAAUUCACUCACUGUAGUCGGUGACCUGAGGAGAGAGGAGACAGCAAAUGUGAAGUGUUCAGAAACCAUGCCUGUCCACAUGCUGAGGUUUAAAUUGGGCUGUCUCAGUCCUGAGCAUCCCCUCGGAGGACUGAAACCAAAUUAAAUAUUAGACUAAUUGGAAACAGUUGAAAGGACUGCUGGGCACUUCCCACCCUCCUGCCUGGCUCUCCUGGGCACACUUCAGUUCUUUCCUCAGGAGUUCCUGUAAAAUAUUUUAAAUACGUAUAAUUGCCGCUGCUGCCGCCACCGCCGCCACCACCAUCAUUACCACCAUCAUCACCAUCAUCAUCACUAUCACCGUCAUCACCACCAUCACCAUCAUCAUCACCAUUACCUUAUCACUGUCAUCACCUCUAUCACCAUCAUCACCAUCAGCACCAUCAUCAUCAUGGUAUGUAUACGACAUACAUGUAGGGAAGGGGAGCGUGUGUGCCCUGGUUAGAGAACAACUUUCAGGGGUCGGUUCUGUAUUUCACCUUUGCUUGGGUUCCGGGAAUCAACUGCAGGUAAUCAGAUUUCUACAGUGAGCACUUUACCUAUAGAGCUAUCUCACUAGCCCUUUGGCUCUGUUUCUUUACAAACCUCCCUUGGUCUGAAUGGUUCGAUGUAAAUAUCCAAUCAAUUAAUUCUCGGAUGACCUCUCAUGUACGUGCAGGAAGAAGAUGAGGUGUAGAUCACAGUGCCCCAGCCUCUCCCUGAAACCAGAUAGUGAGGCUGUUGUAUUUCAUCCACAUGUCCCAUACCCUGGGCUUUUGACCCCUGGAUAAUAUGUAGAAGGCUAUGCCAGAGCCCGUGGUAAGUUUCAGAGUGGGUACCAAAGCAGCCUCCUGUCAUGUCAUAGCAUCCUAGACAAAUGACAUUCUUCUUGUGUAAAUGAGUGCUAGUAAUCAAUCCAUCCUGAUCAAGAGAAAAGAGGCCUCACAUCCAGGGACACGGGGCGGAAGAAGCAAGAGGAGGACAUGCUUGCAGACAGCCUGGUGACAGUGUUUGAUCCCGGAUCCACGUUUGCUGUGGAAAAUAUUAUUUGGGGGUUUCUAUCUCAUAUGGACCAUGUGGUUCCCAAAUAAAAGACACAAAAAUCUUUACAUUUACAAUAAGCCUUAAAGCACUAGAGCUGGACAGAUAUCAAUCCUCUAUGCUUUUUGUCUACUUCCCUGACUAUAACCAAGAUAUCAUUUACUGUGUUCUGUCUGGGCAGCUCUUACUCCACCAGGCCGUCUCUCAUGGCUAUGCACUCACUGUCCACCUACCCCAAGGCGACUUCUUUCUUCUUUCUCUCUUCUUCAUGGUCCCUGCCUGAGAUUCCAAGCCCAGGAAGCUUUGCUCUGUCCCUCUCUCUUCUGCCCAUCCCAGGCUGUAGGCAUCUUUAUUAACCAAUCACAGAUAACCUGGGAGCAAGGUUUACACAACAAAAGCUGGUAUGCGUGAGGAUCCCCUUGUCUUGGAGCAACCAGAUCUUGGGGUACAGAGUUUAGCAUUUGGUGCAAGCAGCCCCAGACCAACCUGACACACAUCCACAAAUGGAAGCAAAGAUCUUACUCCUGCAAGUUGUCCUCUAACGUCCACACCCCUAAGGGUAAGCGUCUAUCUCAUAGAUGACAAAGGUGGCUCUGCAUGUGUGAGCCUCAUGUAAGGGCCACACCAGGGUCGGGAUUUGUGUGUAGCAUCCAGUAACCACUGAGUCUAAUGCCUUAUUCUGCAACGCAAUCAUUUAGGGUGAAAAGAAUGCAGAGCUCAGGGAGUUCAGAAUGCUAAACCACAGAAUGUCUGCAGGAAUUGCAGGCAGGGGGUUGGUGCAUUCCUGAGGGUAAGUCUUCCUGACUCAGCAUCCAGCUCCCUCUGCCCAACCCUGCCUGCCCCCUCUUCACAUUGCAGUCUGUGUGAGAGGAUAGCGAGACCCCAAAGCACCUACUUAUCACUUUGUUUAGGAUAAGAACUGUACACUCUCUAGACAGGAGACUAGCUCAGCGGAGACAGAAAAUGGAAAGAUAGCUGCAGAUUGAAUAUCUCUUCUCCCAGACAGUGGGACCAGAAUAGUUUUAGGGGCUUUCUAGGAGGUAGGAUUGGAAUAUUUGCAUAUACAUAGAGACAUCUUGAGGAUGAGACCCAAGUCUAGAUGUGAGACACAUUGCACACAGUCUGCAGGUAACCUGAUAGAAUGUUUUAAGUUACUUUGUCCAUGAAAGCAAGUUUGCCUACUGUGUUGCUCAGCUUUGCAUCAGUGUAACAAGAUGCUUGAGGUAACUUACGGUGAGGAAAGGUUUAUUUAGGACCAGACUUUCAGACCUUGCUCUGGCAAGGAGGACGUGACAAGAAGCUGCUCAAUUUGUGGUAGCUGGGAGGCAAAAGGGGGAGUGGUCGGGGUUCCAAUAUUCUUCUCAAAGGUGUGUCCGCAAGUGGCCCAACUUCCCUCUUACGAGCUUCACCACCUAAACGUGCCACCAUCUCCCCAUCAAGUGAAGAAUGAGGCCUUUAACCUGUGGGUCCCAGGGGACACUCAAGAUACAAACUUUGACAGGCACAAUGUUCACAAAGCACCAGACUUACUGCUAUACAUGGACACUAAAAAGUUUUUGAUUUUGGAUCAUUAUGAGUUUCAGACACCUGCAUUAGAGAUCUUCAGCCUACAUCAGCUCAGUGAUGGAAAGCUUAAGUCAGUCUCUCUGAGGCCAUGUUGAUGUGUACAUUUUUUUUAUUAUUUUUUUAUUUACAUGAGUAUAUUGUCGCUGUCUUCAGACACACCAGAAGAGGGCAUUAGAUCUCAUUACAGAUGGUUGUGAGCCACCAUGUGGUUGCUGGGAAUUGAACUCAGGACCUCUGGAAGAGCAGUCAGUGCUCUUAACCACUGAGCCAUCUCUCCAACGCUGAUGUGUAAAUUUUUAAAAAAUAAUAACCAACAUAAUUUAGUAUAAUAUGGAAACAUUUCAGCAAGAACAUUUUAAGCCAGUUUUGACAAGUGAAAGGGCGUAAAUAAAGGGAUAUGACGUCAUUGUCUGCAAGCUAGUUAUUGAGCAAACAACAAGUGCCUAUAUUGUCUGAGGAGAGUGUCAAGCUGGAGAACAGAACCAAACUAAGACUUUUGAUGAAUGUUGAAUUCUUAAAGCAAAAAAGACUUUUCUUUCCAUAACAGGUGGAUUUUACUUUUAAUUAUGACAUAAACAGAAAAAUACUUGGAAUGAUAUUCCUCCUGGUGUAUAUUUUGGAUCCCAAUAACUGGUUGUGUCCUGGAAGUUUGUUGGCAAGCUUAAAUAUCUUCUUAGAAACCAGUUGCAAUCUGGAAUAUAUCAAAACACAUCGCACUUGGAUUCGGCCCAGGGAAUAAGAACUCUUUCCUGAGAAACCCAGCUGAUCUGAGGCCAAAGAAAGAAAACUUGUGAAGUCCUGGGGAGAGGAUUCAGACACACAGGUCUCUUGUAUGGCCACUUAGAGAACUUGUCCCUUGCCUUCCCCAUAGAGAAAUUGAAUCUGUAUUACUGGAAACCACCAGUGGCAAUGUGCCUGCACAGCACAGCCUGGAUGUGAUUUUUAAACAUAAUCAUUUUAUUGAAAGAGGCCUCAUAGGUGUCACCAUGGGAAUGCAGAACAAAUACUACAUUCUAUUGGUUGAAACCAAGGUCAAAAUUGACAAAGCCUUCAGUCAUACUUCUGGGCGUAAAGGGGAGCUGAAGAGAAUGGUAUCCCCAAGAGAGUGAUCUGUUGCCCAGCAUGGGGGCAGGAGACAGUGAGGACUCAGCACCCUGAAGGUCUGGUGCACAGGGGUGUGUAUAAUGAUCACCACCACUUCACUCUCAACUCUUUGCUAUUCUUGGGCUUUCCUGGAGGUGAGAUCAUCGUGUCUGUGCAUUGAACUUAUUCUCCCGGAGUGCAUGGUUGGAACCUCACUCCUUCCAUUGUAUGGUACAGCUAGAUGGGUGGAUCUUUAGCUGGUAUAGAGGCCAUGAGGAUAGACCCCUCUGGAAUGAGUGCUCUGAUUGAAGGGACCAGAGGAAGCCUUUGACCUUUUGCUCUUCCUCAAGAAGCAAUGAGAAGCCACCUUUCUAACCCAGGACCCGAACACGUUGGCAUCUUGUUCUCAGCUACCGGGACCAUGAGAAAGGAUAUUUGGUUGUUUAUAGAUCACGCAGCCUCAGGCAUCUAAAACUUCGUGAAAACCCAUUAUUCCUACGAGAGGAAGGCUCCAGAAAAGAGCACAGAGAAGGGCUGUUAGGUAGCUUAGACGAACACCUAGGAGGCCCCACUCACCCCUGCAAUGAAAUGUGGGUCAUCAGUCUUCCAGCAAGGAUCCACAGUGUGAAACUGUUUACACACAGACGUCAGGAAACCAUUCAAAAGCAACAGAGAAAACCAAUUCCGAGAAGUAAAGCUGACAAAACUACUAGCAUUUGAGAGGGUAUGUGGCCAAGGAGCCAAGGACCUACAACAGGUUUCAAAGAUGGCAGCCGAUGCCCUUCACAGGGAAAGGGCACAUCCUGCUCUGUGUGGAGUCUGAAUGGCUAUUUAUGACACAGAACUGAGAGUGAGAUUCAAGCUCUGGCAGCAGCAUGUCUAGGAGACAGCAAAUGAGGAGCCACGCUGAGAAUCCGUCUGUCUCUAGGGCACUCUGGCUGCCACGGGGAAACACUCGUCAAAGAAGGGGAAUGGCCAAGAGAGAAGUAAAAGUCAGCAAAUGCAAUGAGUCUGGUCAUGAAGAAAAUUCCAGCCAGACCACAAUAUAUUCUCCCUGGCACUGAGCUAGCUGAUGGCAGAGAGCCAACCACCCUUGAGGAAAAGGAAUCGUAGGAAAGAUGAAGGACGUUCCCUGACAGAGGUGAACCUUUUGCUUUGUUACUUCAGUUGUCUCUGAGUUAAACCUGCUCUUUCCCAUGGGCAACAAUGUUUCACAGCAGUGGCGGAUGACCCUGGCUGGCCCUUAGAGCAAUUAGGAGACUUUAAAGAACAGGACUUCAUCAAUACCAAACAACAGAAUGUCUGGCGGAAUGGCAGGCAGGUGUUUUUGAUGGACCUCUGAGGGUGGUUCCAGCAUUCUUCCUUACUCAGCUUCCAGCUCGCUCUGCCACUCACUGCCUACCCCAUCUCUAUGCUAUGAUCUGUAUUAGUGCGAGAGCCUUCUUGCCCCUGAGCUGUGGCCUCCUGCCUAAAUCACACCUUGCUUGUCCAACUCUUUUCUCAAAACUGUGCAUUUUAGAGCACUGUGGACUCUUUAGCAGAACUGACCAGAAGCACAGAGCUAUCCUAUACCUCGCCUUCUUUAAACAGCUUUUCUCAUUGUCCACAUCUUCAACAGACUCUUGAACUUUAUAAGCGCAGAGAAAAUUAGUUGAGCCCAAGUGAGCAUAUACGUAUUUAUUUCUCUGCCCUUGAAUGUAGCUAUACUGUGAUUGGCUGCUUCAACUUCCUAUUUCUUUGACUGCUCCACAAUAAUGGACAAUAAAUUGAAACUGUGAGCUAAAAAACACUCUUUCCCGCCUAAGUUGAUUUUUGUCAGGAUAUCUUAUUAAAGCAAUAGAGAUAAAAUAGGAAUAAUCCCUUUGGUCAUUGUCCAUUCUCACCCUGGAGACUGCCUCAGGUUCUGCCUCCACUUGUCUUCCUCGCUUCAUAUAAUUUCAUGUAACAGAGAUCACAUGGACCAGCGAGCUAAAUAGAAAUCAGCAUGAGAUCAGGUAACACUGAGGAAUGCAUGUGUCUUAAAAAGUUGGUACCAUAUCUUCAAGACUCUUUGAGGGCUUUAAGCAGAUAAAUGGUGUGGGAUGAAUUGCUGGUUCAGUGAGAAUCCGGUCACUGCUUUUGGGACUAGGAAGAGUGGAGCCAAUUCAUUCAUUCAGAUUUAUUCAGGACAUCAGACAAUUUACACUCUGAGGGUUAAGAAGACUCACAUGAAUAUAAUGUACUUACAAGGACAAGCUGCACACGCACGGCAAAGACAUGCUUUCCCAUAGAGCCAUAAACAUUUAAUUGAAUGACACCAGCAGGCAAUAAUGAGUAUCUGAAGUAAGCUCACCCAUCCCCCACAUCCGAGGCGAGCAGGAAAACAUACUCCAGGAACAAUUCUGUGUUUUGAAGAAACUAAGUCACAAGAUUCUUGUUUUCUUGAAGUUUUCUCACAAGCACUCAGAAUUCUCACAUGGAUCUAUUCCUGAACCACAGUCCCAUGAAAGCCUGGAGAGAGAGAGAGAGAGAGAGAGAGAGAGAGAGAGAGAGAGAGAGACAGACAGACAGACAGACAGACAGACAUAGAAGGACAGAGACUAAGAAAGAUCCCUCAGGUCAACCUUUGGCUUCCACAUGCAUGUGCAUUUAUGUGCAUGAACAUCCACUGGCACACAUGUAUACACACAGGUACACAGGUACAUAUGUACAUAUCAUACACACACAUACAAUAACACACAAACAUACACCGCAUGCUGUGAUAUUUUCAACCUAUGCUAGGUGGUGCGUCCACAGUGGGGUAGCAUUUCUGCUUCAGUCUAUUGCAAAGUCAGCCUAGAGGGUCAGGGCAGAUUUGUAGACUUGAGUUCAGCUACUGAGGAGAAAGGACAGGACUGGGUCCAGGUGAACCAAUAUUUGGUGGGUGAACGGCAGGUUAGACAGGUAAACAGGCAGGGGACAACUCAAGCCACAUCAGAUGUGGGUACUAAAGCAAGAUGGACCCUGAAGAGUUGGGUGUGCUCUGUGAGUGGUCCUUAAUGCACACAGAUAGUGGUGCACCAACAGGUGAGUGGGGCCAUCACAGUGAUGAAGCUAGAUGUGGGCCUGGCACCUCCAACACGUUGUGGUCUCCAAGGCAACCCAGGCUUCACCUUCAUAGCUUCAUGCAGUGGCCACUCUAGACCUCAAUUCAGAGAAACCCCUGACAUACACCUGGCCUCAGAGGCUUUCUCUAGUUGUGGGGGGAGAGUCUAUAACUCCUUUCUUCUAUCCUUGAUUCUAAAGACAGAGCCAUUAGCCAAAGUUGCCAAGUUCUGCUGCUUGCUGGACCUGGACCUUUUUCAAUUACACCUUUAUCAGCUUUGUUUUCAAUGGCUUCCUUCACAGCCUAAGCUUAGCCGUUCUGAAACUCACUCUGCAGACUAGGCUGGCCUAGAACUUAGUCUUCUUACUUUCUGAGUUCCUGGAUUAAAGGUGUGCACCACCAGGCCUGGCCCUAAGCUUUUCUUUAAUUCCUUUUCACUUUUGUCUUACUUAGGGUUCUAUUUUUGUGAAGAGACACCAUGACCAUGGCAACUCUUACAACGGCAAACAUUUGAUUGGGGUGGCUUGCAGUUUCAGAGGUUGAGUCCAUUAUCAUUAAGGUGGGAAACAUGGCAGUGUCCAGGCAGAUGGUGCUGGAGGAGCUGAGAGUUCAUCUUGAUCCACAGGCAGCAGGAAAGAGAUUGACUUCUGCGAUUGCAAAGCCCACCCCCAGUAACAAGCCUCCUCCAACAAAGGCCACACCUCCUAAUAGUGCCACCCCCAAUGGAUCUAUGAUUUUAUUCAAAACACCAAAGAUGUCUUCCUCCUUACGGAGCCAGGAUGAGAGAAUUGGACCCUUUCCUCAGCCUGAUGAGCUAAGUCCUCGGGCCUGUUUUUCCUGAUAAGAUUUUAAGAUGCCAUGUGCUCCUUUCUUUCUUUUUUUUUUUUCUUUCAUUUUUUCGGAGCUGGGGACCGAACCCGGGGCCUCUACCACUGAGCUAAAUCCCCAACCCCGUCAUGUGCUCCUAAAUCUCAAUUCACCUUGGUAAGCUGAUAUGUGGCACUCUCUUCUAGAAAUCAGUGUUUGAUCAGUCUGUGCUGCAUGGGUGUGCCUGGAAAAUGGUGCUGGUUAUGUGCCUAUCCAGUUGUGGACUCAGUCAUCCUUUAUCCUCAAAACAGACCCAAAUCUGCUCUUCUGAGGACAAGUACAAUCUAAAAAGAAAAAGCCAUCAGUUUAUGCAAUAUGCUCUCAACGCCACCUCCAACCUCAUUUGUCCAGUUUGUAAGACAGACAGACACACAGACCGACAGAUAUAUGUUACGUUCCUAAAGUCAAAAGAUACUACCUUAUAUAGUUAGCAGUUCAAAAUGGAACUGCAGUGUCCUAUGCAUUUAGCAAGAUGACGGGGCCGUGUGCGCACUUGCACAUAUUAAAACCCGAUCAGGCAAACAGACCCAAGAACUUGUGAACACAGUAGACUGAGAAUAGAACAUCUUUCCCUGGACCCCACAAGCAGAGGACCCGAAACACUGAGAUGGUGAUGGCCCAGCAACCUGUUACCGGACCUCCAAGUGUGAG
This is a long non-coding RNA of Rattus norvegicus (Norway rat), 8927 nucleotides long. The record is from Ensembl. NCBI's taxonomy places the organism in Eukaryota, Metazoa, Chordata, Mammalia, Rodentia, Muridae.